AAUUUUGGACAAUGGGGGAAACCCUGAUCCAGCCAUCCCGCGUGCAUGAUGAAGGCCUUCGGGUUGUAAAGUACUUUUGGCAGAGAAGAAAAGGUACCUCCUAAUACGAGGUACUGCUGACGGUAUCUGCAGAAUAAGCCCCGGCUAACUACGUGCCAGCAGCCGCGGUAAUACAGAGGGGGCACACGUUAAUCUGAUUUACUGGGCGUAAAGCGUGUGUAGGCGGGUCGGAAAGAAAGAUGUGAAAUCCCAGGGCUAAACCUUGGAACUGCAUUUUUAACUGACGAGCUAGAGUAUGUCAGAGGGGGGUAGAAUUCCACGUGUAGCAGUGAAAUGCGUAGAUAUGUGGAGGAAUACCGAUGGCGAAGGCAGCCCCCUGGGAUAAUACUGACGCUCAGACACGAAAGCGUGGGGAGCAAACAG
Molecule: ribosomal RNA, 423 nt
Filed under: uncultured bacterium
Lineage: Bacteria
Description: partial 16S ribosomal RNA
Rfam family: Bacterial small subunit ribosomal RNA
Source: RNAcentral